GACGAACGCUGGCGGCGUGCUUAACACAUGCAAGUCGAACGGAAAGGCCCUGCUUUUGUGGGGUGCUCGAGUGGCGAAAGGGUGAGUAACACGUGAGUAACCUGCCCUUGACUUUGGGAUAACUUCAGGAAGCUGGGGCUAAUACCGGAUAGGAGCUCCUGCUGCAUGGUGGGGGUUGGAAAGUUUCGGCGGUUGGGGAUGGACUCGCGGCUUAUCAGCUUGUUGGUGGGGUAGUGGCUUACCAAGGCUUUGACGGGUAGCCGGCCUGAGAGGGUGACCGGCCACAUUGGGACUGAGAUACGGCCCAGACUCCUACGGGAGGCAGCAGUGGGGAAUAUUGCACAAUGGGCGGAAGCCUGAUGCAGCAACGCCGCGUGCGGGAUGACGGCCUUCGGGUUGUAAACCGCUUUCGCCUGUGACGAAGCGUGAGUGACGGUAAUGGGUAAAGAAGCACCGGCUAACUACGUG
This 468-nucleotide ribosomal RNA is filed under the name uncultured bacterium. Its description in RNAcentral is "partial 16S ribosomal RNA". It matches the Rfam family "Bacterial small subunit ribosomal RNA", at positions 28 to 507 of the family's 1533-position model. The record is from RNAcentral.